This 253-nucleotide ribosomal RNA is filed under the name uncultured bacterium. RNAcentral's name for it is "partial 16S ribosomal RNA". It matches the Rfam family "Bacterial small subunit ribosomal RNA", at positions 524 to 776 of the family's 1533-position model. The record is from RNAcentral.
UACGGAGGGGGCUAGCGUUGUUCGGAAUUACUGGGCGUAAAGCGCACGUAGGCGGCUUUGCAAGUUAGAGGUGAAAGCCCGGGGCUCAACUCCGGAAUUGCCUUUAAAACUGCAUCGCUAGAAUUGUGGAGAGGUAAGUGGAAUUCCGAGUGUAGAGGUGAAAUUCGUAGAUAUUCGGAAGAACACCAGUGGCGAAGGCGACUUACUGGUCCGGUACUGACGCUGAGGUGCGAAAGCGUGGGGAGCAAACAGG